This 254-nucleotide ribosomal RNA is filed under the name uncultured bacterium. RNAcentral describes it as "partial 16S ribosomal RNA". It matches the Rfam family "Bacterial small subunit ribosomal RNA", at positions 524 to 776 of the family's 1533-position model. The record is from RNAcentral.
UACGGAGGGUGCGAGCGUUGUCCGGAAUCAUUGGGCGUAAAGGGCGCGUAGGUGGCCCGGUCAGUCUUUGGUGAAAGCGCGGGGCUCAACCCUGCGUCGGCCAGGGAUACUGCCGCGGCUGGAGCACUGUAGAGGCAGGCGGAAUUCCGGGUGUAGCGGUGGAAUGCGUAGAGAUCCGGAAGAACACCGGUGGCGAAGGCGGCCUGCUGGGCAGUUGCUGACACUGAGGCGCGACAGCGUGGGGAGCGAACAGG